This 84-nucleotide transfer RNA is filed under the name Candidatus Kaiserbacteria bacterium. RNAcentral describes it as "tRNA-Leu". It matches the Rfam family "tRNA". From Rfam's summary of the family: Transfer RNA (tRNA) molecules are approximately 80 nucleotides in length. Their secondary structure includes four short double-helical elements and three loops (D, anti-codon, and T loops). Lineage: Bacteria; Candidatus Kaiseribacteriota. The record is from RNAcentral.
GCGCAGGUGGCGAAAUUGGUACCCGCGCAGCCUUGAGGUGGCUGUGGUCGCAAGACCUUGGAGGUUCGAGUCCUCUCCUGCGCA